AAGGAACUAGGCCACAUUUUCUAAAACAUAGUAAAUGACAUAUAAACACCUGCAGAGAGAGAGCCCUUACCUGUCUUGGUGAGGGAGGCAGCACCAACAACAGCAAAGAUUAGCUCUGUUAGCGCCACUGGAAGCUGCAGAGUGGAGGACAGCAUCAGUAACAGCAGACGGACAUUUUCAUGACUUCCAAGGAUACUAUGAAAGCCAUCUGAACAUUGGAAGUAGGAAGUCAAACAGCUUGGGAAACUUGGGAGACUGGCUUUCUCUGCUUCUUCAAGUACACAGUUGUAAGAAGAUGGCUGUGCCACGUUUACCAUGUGGGUUUCCCUCAGUUACAGCCAUGUACAGAGACUAACUUGUUACCAAUUUCAAAUUCCU
Molecule: long non-coding RNA, 378 nt
Filed under: Mustela putorius furo (domestic ferret)
Lineage: Eukaryota; Metazoa; Chordata; Mammalia; Carnivora; Mustelidae
Description: lncRNA (ENSMPUG00000028231.1)
Source: RNAcentral